GACGAACGCUGGCGGCGUGCCUAAUGCAUGCAAGUCGCACGCACGGAGCUUGCUCCGUGAGUGGCGCACGGCUGAGUAUCACGUGGGAACGUGCCCUAGGGUGGGGGAUAACGCCGCGAAAGCGACGCUAAUCCCGCAUACGCUCACUUUGGUGAGGAAAGCAGUGAUGCGCCCCAGGAGCGGCCCGCGGCCCAUCAGGUCGUUGGGGGGUAAGUGGCCUCCAAGCCGAUGACGGGUAGCUGGUCUGUGAGGAC
This 254-nucleotide ribosomal RNA is filed under the name uncultured bacterium. Its description in RNAcentral is "partial 16S ribosomal RNA". It matches the Rfam family "Bacterial small subunit ribosomal RNA", at positions 28 to 301 of the family's 1533-position model. The record is from RNAcentral.